Molecule: ribosomal RNA, 253 nt
Filed under: uncultured bacterium
Lineage: Bacteria
Description: partial 16S ribosomal RNA
Rfam family: Bacterial small subunit ribosomal RNA
Source: RNAcentral
UACAGGGGGUGCAGGCGUUAUUCGGAAUUAUUGGGCGUAAAGAGCGCGUAGGCGGUCUACUAAGUUUGGUGUGAAAUCCCUGGGCUCAAUCCAGGAAGUGCAUUGAAUACUGGUAGACUUGAGUAUUGGAGAGGUAAGCGGAAUUCCCGGUGUAGAGGUGAAAUUCGUAGAUAUCGGGAGGAACAACAGUGGCGAAGGCGACUACCUGGCCUGUUCUUGACGCUGAGGCGCGAAAGCUAGGGGAGCAAACGGG